GAUGAGGUCAACAUAGAACGAAUGGAAUAAGGAAAUGCUUUAGUGGCCAUUUCAAUUACUCUGCCUAAGAAAUACGUAAGAUUCCUUUGUAAUUACAUAGUAUUUUCAUAUAAAUUUGACCUUCAUUCCUGUGAGCUAAAUUUUAUCCCCACUUUAGAGAUGAGACAAUGUGUGAAUUUAAGUCCUAUUGUUCAGUAUGGAACUACAACCAAAACCAGCUUUCUUACUCCAAUACUUUUUCUCCAAAACUCAGUGCCAGCUUGAACUGAUGAUUUUCCAUAUAGUGAUCUUUUCUAAGGGAGGCAAAGUGACUCCAAGACCAUAGCCCCCAGGAAAGACAGACACAAUGAGGCUCACAGCCAUGGCGUAGCCUGUCAGCAGGAUCACAAUGACCAGCAGGAAGCCCACCACCUCAUCCCAGGCUUUGCCGGCGACCCUAAACAGACAGCACCGUCACUGCUGCUUGCCUGAACGGUUAGCUGCGUCUCUCCCUAAUGAAAUGUCAUGAACACUGGCAAAGCGCGCUCAGCUGGGGACUUGGAUCUGACCUGGGCACAAUGUUAUAGUCUCCUUUCUGCUCUGUAGUCGCUCAGAGCUGCUGCUUACGAAAAGGUGGCCUUCUCUAAUACAGCUUUCACUGGGUGUUCUAAAUUCCAACAGGAAGCCACCAAUCCUGAGCUAAAUGAAUGCAACAAUUUCCAGAAUACAGCUUACUGAAAGGAUAUAAAGUAAUAAUAUGACAAAGUGUUGGUAACUGGUGAAAAAUACUGAACAAGAAGCAUUCUUUAGGAAAGACAUUGUUUUUAGCAUUUCUGCAACACUGUCCAGGGCAAAGCCUACCAACUGCUCUUGAUGGUUGGGAAGGAGGGUGUGCCUGGCCCAGGGGUAGAAGUGCUGCAGAAGGCUGAUCUCCGAGAAGCCGUGAGAAAAGCUCUUCCGGAGAGCCCGAUGGAGGUGGAAGCGGCUGGGGUUCUGCGAGGAGUGGAC
Myotis lucifugus (little brown bat) is the source of this 987-nucleotide long non-coding RNA. RefSeq lists it as uncharacterized. The record is from RefSeq and is a predicted model, not a curated record. Lineage: Eukaryota; Metazoa; Chordata; Mammalia; Chiroptera; Vespertilionidae. The transcript has 4 exons.